This is an RNA transcript of Propithecus coquereli (Coquerel's sifaka), 2881 nucleotides long. RefSeq lists it as uncharacterized. The record is from RefSeq and is a predicted model, not a curated record. Lineage: Eukaryota; Metazoa; Chordata; Mammalia; Primates; Indriidae. The transcript is spliced from 2 exons.
UACCGGGGGCGGGCCGAGCGACGCAGUCGGGACGGUAGCUGCGGCGCGGACCGGAGGAGCCAUCUUGUCUCGUUGCCGGGGAGUCAGGCCCCUAACUCGAAGAAGCCCUGGCGCGCCCUCCCCCCCUCCCCGGUCUGGUAGGGCGAAGGAGUGGGCGCGCGGUCGAUCGAGCGAUCGGUUGGCGGCUCUUUCUCCUGCUCUGGCAUCCAGCUCUUGGGGCGCAGGCCCGGCCGCCGCGGCGCGCGCCCGGUGGCCGUUGGCGCUCGCGCCGCGUCUUUCUUCUCGUACGCAGAACUCGGGCGGCGGCCUAUGCGUUUGCGAUUCGACGAGGAGUCGUCCGCGUGGUCGGUGGCGGGGGGCAGCUGCUCCGCCCCGCUCCGGGGGAGGCGGCGGCGGCAGCGGGUUUUGGCGCGGCCGGGGAGGCGGGGGUGGCCGGGGCCGGUCUGGAGGCCUGGCGCCACCCUUCCGGGCCUGCACGGACCCAGUUGGGGGGGCAGGAGGGGGCCGGAGGAUGGUUGGUGGUGGGCUUUCUACUUUGCCUUUUCCUCCUCAUGCCGCCUUAGUGAGGGGCGGGAGCUCUGGCGGCAGCUCCGGGGUGGGGAGAAGAGCUCCGGAGUCGGAAGACCUGAGUUUGCCUCCGGGCCUAGCCACCAGCUGGCCGAGUGACCUUAGGCAAGUCACUCUGUAAUUUGUCUGCGCCUCAGUUUCCUCUGCCUGUCAAUGUGUGUGGAAUUGAAAGCGCUUUGUAAACUACAAAGCGUUGGUGUAUGUAAAGGAUGAUUAUUGUUUGUGAUGUUUUUUUGAGUUGUAAGACAAUUUAGCAAUUGUCUAAUCCUUGCAUUUUGAACCUGGAAACCUUGGAUUGGAGUUGGAGCUUCCCAAACUCCCUGAAAUUGUAUGCGGAAAUUUGUGGGAAUGGUUAUUUUAGGGGAAUGAUGAUCCAUCGCUAGCAAGUUUUCAGUGGGGGAUGUGACGCAGAAGAGUUAAGAACCAUGAUUCUUUUAUGCCGCAGGGAGGAAACUGAGGCCUAGAUGUCAUUUGGGACCCUUCACAACCAAUUUGAAGCCCCUGUUUGAGUCCCUGGGAUAUGUGAGCUGUUUCUAUGCAUAAUGGAUAUUCGGGGUAACCACACUCCCCUGCUUGGCUUCUAUUUUGAAUUCUUUCUUUCACCAUGGGGUGCCUGAAGGGUGGCUGAUGCAUAUGGUACAAUGGCACCCAAUAUAAAGCAGCUACAAUUAGGCGUGGAUGUGUUCUCUAGUAUCAAGAAGCUUAUUUAAUCUUUGGUCCAGCAACUCUUUGUUUUGUGCUGCUUGUAUGGUGCCUGGCUACAUUUUUGACUCUUUGACCAUUUUCCACAACCAUGGUUGCCAUCCAUUACUUGCUCCUACUUUUUAUGCCUAGUCUGUGUGGUUGGUAGUGAACAGGCUUAUUUUUAAAUGAUGCUGCCAAGCCCAGCUAAUUAAUGGUGUGUGGAUUUUUAGCAAGUGGGCUCACUGGAACAGACUGAACCAGGCAUGGAAUUCCUGAAGAUGUUUGGGGCUUUUUUAUUAACUGAAGGUUAACAUUCUCUGGAGAGUUUUGUUAGAUCUCCUGCAGAACCUCAAAAUCAGUAGAUUUGGAAGUGGUUCAAAGCUUAAGUUUUUCCCAGCCUGCCUUGUAUUCUAAUUGCUUGCAAUUGUGAUACUAAGAUGGCCAAAAUGCCAGGUUUUGUUUCUUUGUUAAUUGUCAGCCGCUUUUAUCAAAUUCCAGGCCAUUAUCCAGCAAGCACUAAAAAUGUUUGAACAGUUGGAUUUCAAACAUUUUCAUUUUGUGGAGUGGUGCUUACCAAGUGGUACAGCUCUAAGCAAGUGAACACAAACACAUUUUAAGUGUAUUUUGUCUGAUUAGAUGUUAGCCAAUUUUACUAUUUCAUUCAAAUGUCUGAAAAAAAUCAAUGGACUAUGCCCUUUACCUAAAGAGCAGAGACAAAUAAUCUCACUUCCAGAGAAAUGACUGUUUUGGAGAAAAAUGUGUUGGUCUUUUAGCUCUUUUAUAAGUAAAUCUGGAUGUACCUCAAAAGAAUCUUAAGACUGUAGUGAUAAGAUGCUUUCCUCAGAAGAAAAGAGGCAAAAGACAACUGGAACUCAGAGCUUGAAAUUCUUUGUUAAAACAAGAUGUCCAGGACUGGAAGUUGAAAAAGUUUCACUACAGUGUUCUGCAAUAGUUCGAGCAGAUGUCUUUCAUUGUAGCCGCAGCUAUGGACUCCACAUUUCCGAGUUUUCAAGAACUAGACCUGGAACCUGAAAGAGCUUGUCAGGAUGUGACAAGAAGAACACUGAAGGUAGAUUAUUUUUUAUUUUUCAAUUUUGGGACUGUUGACCUUGCUGUGAGAAGAGAGGCAACGACUGAGCAAGCACUGCCACCAGCGCUGUUACUGGGAAUUAGAAGACCUGAGUUUUUGUCUAGACCCUCAGUGCAAACUGAGGAUGCUCCAUCCAAAGUGAAUUACGUCCUGUGCCUCCUGAUUGCUGAGUGUUCACCUGGACCUUCUGACUACCUUCCUUGUGCUAUUGCAUCAGCCUACAGAUCUGGUACCUGGAUUUUUGCCCAUGGUGAUUCCUGCCACCUUACUACUGAAGAAGAUACCAUUCCAGUGGACCACUGGUGACCCAAAAGACAUUCAGCCAUUAUUAUGUGGCCUUUACCUCCACUCCUGUCCUACCCAGCACAGCCCUUUGUAGUGAAGUCAGAGUCCUCGAGCCAAACAGCUGAAGCUACUUUAUCACAACAAAGGCCUAGUUUGUUCUAUGAGUCUGCAUUUCAUUUCUUCAAUUAAAGCCUUCAGAGACACACAAUAAAUUUGGACCAGGGGAUUUUUAGUUAUUAAUGCUGUCUGAAGAAA